UAUUUUCUAGGGUGCAAUAAUCUAAUGUGAUGUGGGUUUUGGAAUGACAGACAGACAAAGCUUCAAUGCUGGAUGAGAUCAUCGAUUAUGUCAAAUUCCUCCAGCUCCAAGUCAAGGUUCUGAGCAUGAGCAGGUUGGGCGGUGCAGCUGCUGUUGCUCCUCUUGUUGCU
Molecule: long non-coding RNA, 170 nt
Organism: Prunus persica (peach)
Lineage: Eukaryota; Viridiplantae; Streptophyta; Magnoliopsida; Rosales; Rosaceae
Exons: 2
Source: RefSeq, a predicted model, not a curated record